GCCUUCAAUGGCUUAGUGGUAGAGCGUCUGAUAUGUAUUGCUUCCCUGAGUAUUGCCCAACUUGACAGAAGGCUAGGGUUCGAAUCCCUAUUAAGGCA
Molecule: transfer RNA, 98 nt
Filed under: Lentinula edodes (shiitake mushroom)
Lineage: Eukaryota; Fungi; Basidiomycota; Agaricomycetes; Agaricales; Omphalotaceae
Description: tRNA-OTHER
Rfam family: tRNA
About the family: Transfer RNA (tRNA) molecules are approximately 80 nucleotides in length.
Source: RNAcentral